Molecule: ribosomal RNA, 497 nt
Filed under: uncultured bacterium
Lineage: Bacteria
Description: partial 16S ribosomal RNA
Rfam family: Bacterial small subunit ribosomal RNA
Source: RNAcentral
GAUGAACGCUGGCGGCGUGCCUAAUACAUGCAAGUCGAGCGAACAGACGAGGAGCUUGCUCCUCUGACGUUAGCGGCGGACGGGUGAGUAACACGUGGAUAACCUACCUAUAAGACUGGGAUAACUUCGGGAAACCGGAGCUAAUACCGGAUAACAUGUUGAACCGCAUGGUUUAACAGUGAAAGACGGUCUUGCUGUCACUUAUAGAUGGAUCCGCGCCGCAUUAGCUAGUUGGUAAGGUAACGGCUUACCAAGGCAACGAUGCGUAGCCGACCUGAGAGGGUGAUCGGCCACACUGGAACUGAGACACGGUCCAGACUCCUACGGGAGGCAGCAGUAGGGAAUCUUCCGCAAUGGGCGAAAGCCUGACGGAGCAACGCCGCGUGAGUGAAGAAGGUCUUCGGAUCGUAAAACUCUGUUAUUAGGGAAGAACAAAUGUGUAAGUAACUAUGCAUGUCUUGACGGUACCUAAUCAGAAAGCCACGGCUAACUACGUG